CCUUGCCCUGCUUUUGGUCUGUUUUCGUCAGAUCGAGGACAUUUGGACAGGCCUUAUUUGCUCUGGAAUGCUUGAAGGUCAAACAAAGAAAAAGAACCAAGAACGAAUUGUACCAGCUGAAAAUCCAUCCUGACAUUCAGUGCUGCAAGAUUGGAGCUCAGUGCAGGCCGGCUUUUGUUCUACAACACCAACUCCCCAAGAAUAGGCUUCUGAAUGCCGUGGAAGAGGCUGAUUCUUGUUCUCUGAAGUUGUGCUGCGCCGUGCUGCACUUGAAGAAGGUGAGCUGGCAUUGGUAAUUGGUUCUUGUGCCCCAGAUGAUUCAAAGCAGAUGGAGACUGCCUUGCCAGAUGCGGUCUGCAACUGGAACUCCGAGGGGCUAAGAGGAAGAAAGGCACUAUUACAUGUAUGCUCAUUGUAGUAGGUGACUGAGUACAAUGGUGGAUCACUAUAGUCUUUCUGCUGAAUCUGCUUCGUCGCCGGGCAAUUCAUGUUAUCUUUAUAGGUGCAUCUGUAGUAGUACCUGCAAUGAGACAGGCAAGACAAUGGUUUGAGCGAAAUGAACAUGAAAAGAUUCAGUUUUCUGCAAUAAACUUGUUGUAAUA
This is a long non-coding RNA of Oryza brachyantha (malo sina), 602 nucleotides long. RefSeq lists it as uncharacterized. NCBI's taxonomy places the organism in Eukaryota, Viridiplantae, Streptophyta, Magnoliopsida, Poales, Poaceae. The transcript has 2 exons. The record is from RefSeq and is a predicted model, not a curated record.